UGGGGAAUUUGGACAAUGGGCGAAAGCCUGAUCCAGCCAUGCCGCGUGAGUGAAGAAGGCCUUCGGGUUGUAAAGCUCUUUUAGUCGGAAAGAAAGAGUUGCAAUGAAUAAUUGUGAUUUAUGACGGUACCGACAGAAAAAGCACCGGCUAACUACGUGCCAGCAGCCGCGGUAAUACGUAGGGUGCGAGCGUUAAUCGGAAUUACUGGGCGUAAAGGGUGCGCAGGCGGUCUUGCAAGUCAGAUGUGAAAGCCCCGGGCUUAACCUGGGAAUUGCGUUUGAAGCUACAAGGCUAGAGUGCAGCAGAGGGGAGUGCAAUUCCAUGUGUAGCAGUGAAAUGCGUAGAGAUGUGGAAGAACACCGAUGGCGAAGGCAGCUCCCUGGGUUGACACUGACGCUCAUGCACGAAAGCGUGGGGAGCAAACA
Molecule: ribosomal RNA, 426 nt
Filed under: uncultured bacterium
Lineage: Bacteria
Description: bacterial SSU rRNA
Rfam family: Bacterial small subunit ribosomal RNA
Source: RNAcentral